UAGUUAUUUCGUAAAAAGAGGACUAAAUCAUAUUCACCGAUAAUAGCAGCACCUUGUUUAAUACAGGAGGGAGGCAGACGGCGCCAUUUUGCGUCUGCAGUCAUCUGACACUCAUCCGGCUUUAGUUAUUGCACGCAUACGAACAUAAAUAACAACAAAAGAAAAAUAACCUUGUACAUAAAUGCCAUAAUUAGCCCUAAGUACACACGGUCUUGAAAUACAUUAAACAAACUGAUAACACAAAGAAAGCUUAAUAUCUCCGUGCAUAAUGCAACAUCAAUGUGUUAGCAACUUUAUAAUAAUGUGAAUAAAUGUUUAUGUUUAUAAGCUUUACGAUCAUUUGUGAAUUUUUUUAAGAGGUUUUAUCUCCUUGGCCUUGUUUUUUUGUUAUUUUUAAUGCAACGCUGAAGAGUUGGAUGAUCGCGUCUGCAAUAAUUUGUGACGUAAACAUCGACGACAGCGAUGCAGUAGGAACACAAACGUUCAGUUGUCGUUGGGGCUCGUGAAAGUUUAAAGUGAUUUGCCGAGUUUUGUGUAGUUUCGCUGUUUCCAAGUGUUCAGAUAUGAACUUCUUCGUAGCAAAGUCUUCAUUGUUUGCCCAGCCAAACUCUGGUCGGCUAACACCAAAGUCUUCCUCCGUUUUAAAGAGAGGAUUCGACUGUCUCCAUCGACAACCCGAGCACGAGACAGCGAUGAAAACCUUUAAAGGUCCAGAUGGGAUGCCCCGAAGAGCUGACAGCGAGUCUUCUGUGGCGAUUUCUGGGCGUCACACUUGUGAUAUCUCUAAGAAAAGUCGUAGAUGCUGAUAAAGAGGAGGAUAUUACGUGUCCAGACAGCACGUUCUUUGAGGCGGGCUGCCAACAAACCUUAAGCCACUCGAAUAUCCCAGACCUGCUCUAAAAUAGACGUGCCCAAGUUAUUUCAGUACGGAUUCAUCCUGCGAUGUGUCUGCUCUACCCUCUACUUUCAACUGCUCCUGGGCAUGACCUCGAUGAUCCAAUCCCCAAGCGUCGCUGUUUAGAUACCUCACAGACUUUCUGCAGUCGGGACACAGUGAAGCUUUUUGAAUCCUGUCUGAAAAUGCUGUCACGUGAUAUUCCAGCCUGCAGAAUGCCAGUAGCCUCCGUCUUUGCUUCUACUCAUUGUCAAGGCUUUAUGGAACACACUGAUAAAGCACAGCUGUAUCUCGUAUAAACUAAGAAUAGGAAUAGAGUGGAUUGGGGGACUACGCUCUGCACAUCACCAAGAGACUCCUGCAGCUCUACAAGGAUUACUUCAAAGUCAGAUAUUCCCUUCUUAAACAAAGGUCUCUUGACUCCAGCAACAGAGAGCGGAUUACAGUGGAGGGGUUUAUCUCUCACGGUCACUCGAGAGUUAUCGAGGAAUCUCAUACUGCAGACGUUUCCUCCAGAUAUUGAUCAGAUGAAUGAUAAAUGUGCACUCAAGGAUCAGACUCUUUCUUCAUGUCGGUCACCACCUGUAUCACUGAUAUUGUAGGGUGAUUGAUUACUUGAUGACGCACAUGUACAGGAACGCAGAGAGAGAUGACUAGUGGAACAAAUUCUGAGGCCAUGCAGAGGGAUGGGAAGGACAUCAAAAUCACAGAGGUCAUGGAUCGUUGGACCCUGCAGAUGGGUUACCCUGUCGUCACCAUCAGCAAGAAUGACAGUAUCGUCUCCCAUGAGCACUUUGUGUAUAUGACACAGAUGCCAAGAUCCCGAGUUGUUCAACAAAAGAUGAUGAUGUGAAUGACAAUGGAAACCAGAGCACAGUACAAGGAGAGACAGGGGACCACCAAGGAACGCAAGGAGACUAGAUGGAAACAUAAAUUCGAAGCAGCAGAGAUUCAUCCCCAUCUUCCCCACCACCACCAGGAGGUCCCUGUCCAUUUAACUCCAGGGGGUUGGCUACGCCCCCGCCCUAAUCUCCAGGCAGGAAGUGGAGGAAUUCUUGGCCCUCUGGAUGUGAGCCACGGGCAGGGCCUACGCCAAAGAACUGUACACUCACAAUACUAAUAUACUGCUCACUGAAGUAAUCCUGUUACUCUUCCAUCUACCACUGGACUUCUUGACUGGACAAACGUUCAACGUUCGUAUGUACGUUCAACAGUGGAGCUCCCCAGGGCAGUGUAUUAGGCCCCCUGCUUUUCUCCUACUACACCCAUGACUCUGUGGUUGAGUGAUCUCCAACAAGUUGGUGAGGUUUUCCAAUGACUCGAUUCUGGUAUGCCUUAUCACUAACAAUAUUAACUCACAGGAAGUGGAUGUCUUCUUCUCAUUGAACGUUAGCAAGGUAAUGUUAAUUCAGACUGUGGAGCAAAGCAGGUGUGAACUGCAGUUGCAAAAAUGACCACAAUCAAGUUAUGAUUGAGCAACUUCAAAUACUUGGUGGAUUACCCUACAAGAGACCUCUAUGCUCAAUCACACAAACAGCUUGGUGGCUGUUUCAGCAUCCCUCCAACCAUAUGUUUUGCCUGACCAGGUUCAAGAUCUCUCACAGGAUGCUAAGGACUCUCUAUCCUGAGGCUGUGGAUACACAUUAAGCAUCACUGUCUGGUUUAGAAGUACCCACCGCCCAGGACGCAAGGCACUGAGCAGUGAGGACACCGCAGAAAGCUAUCAGAACUUCUCAAUGAGACAUGAGAGAUUCGAGAGGAAAUUCUACCCCUAAGCAAUACGGCUACUGAAUAAGGACACUUGGGAAAAUCGACAUGUAUCUAUAUAUAGAUUCAUUUUUACGCUGAACUACUCAUAAACUUAACUAAGGAACCCAGCUUUUGUAUUAAAGCAAUAACACACGAGAAGGUGUGUCAUUAUAUAUCAAUCCUGGCUGUGAUUCAGUCAUAGGAUCUCCAGAAAUGUCCCUGAAUACGAUUAUUAUUUUACUGCUGAGUUAAAAGUUUGAUUGGCAGAGGCUUUGGUUGACUUUUAGCCUAAAUGGUUAUAUUUUGUAGUCUCCUUUUUCUAAAGAGAUCCCUUAAGGUGAAAUGUGUCAUUUCUGUGCCACUCACAAAAAAUAUCCUACUGCACUUCACUCAUCUUCUAUUAUUCAGCCCAACAGUCAAUGCUGCCCCAAAGUCAUGCCAUUGGGUGAUACUUUCUAAAUUUCAUAAAUAGGUCUUGCAAUACUCUUUUUGGGCUGUGGGGGGAGAUGUUUUUCUGCUCUGCUUAAAGAACCCUAUUGAAAACGACAAUUUUUCUCCCACCCUCCUUUAGCUCUCGGCAGAAACAAGCCUCUUAUGUGGUGGCAGUCACAGCUGCCCUCAAGGACGUUUUACCAAUUUUUUAUUCAAUUAAACUUUUUGAACUCCCUCAAAAGCCGAUCUUGUGUUCUAUGUUUACUUUAUUACUCUCCGUCAACAGGAGUCACAUGGCAAUAGUUUAUUUUUAAAUGACUCAAUUUCUACUUGAUUCGAAGAUUUCACAACGACUCCAGGGCAUUCCCGUUUUGCCCCAUUAUUUCAUAAGAAUAGCUUUAAAUUCCACAGGGGUUAAAGGGUGUUGUGGGUAUUAAUAGGACGGAAAACCAAAUGCUUUUCCUGCCUACUCGAGUUCAGAGUUUCAUAUUUGUUAUAAAAACAGUUCAACUAGAAGCACCUUGAUCCUUUUCACUUCAUCCCACAUU
This is a long non-coding RNA of Triplophysa dalaica, 3624 nucleotides long. RefSeq lists it as uncharacterized. Lineage: Eukaryota; Metazoa; Chordata; Actinopteri; Cypriniformes; Nemacheilidae. The record is from RefSeq and is a predicted model, not a curated record. The transcript has 13 exons.